RNAcentral lists this ribosomal RNA (257 nucleotides) under uncultured prokaryote. Its description in RNAcentral is "partial 16S ribosomal RNA". It matches the Rfam family "Bacterial small subunit ribosomal RNA", at positions 524 to 780 of the family's 1533-position model. The record is from RNAcentral.
UACGUAGGUGGCAAGCGUUGUCCGGAUUUAUUGGGCGUAAAGCGAGCGCAGGCGGUUCCUUAAGUCUGAUGUGAAAGCCCACGGCUCAACCGUGGAAGGUCAUUGGAAACUGGGGAACUUGAGUGCAGAAGAGGAGAGUGGAAUUCCAUGUGUAGCAGUGAAAUGCGUAGAUAUAUGGAGGAACACCAGUGGCGAAGGCGACUCUCUGGUCUGUAACUGACGCUGAGGCUCGAAAGCGUGGGGAGCAAACAGGAUUA